CGCUAGUAAUCGCGUAUCAGCAAUGACGCGGUGAAUGUGUUCCUGAGCCUUGUACACACCGCCCGUCAAGUCAUGGGAGCUGGUAGUACCCGAAGUCCGCUUAGCGAACCGCAAGGAGCGGCGGCCGACGGUAAGACCGGUGACUGGGACUAAGUCGUAACAAGGUAGCCGUAGGGGAACCUGCGGCUGGAUCACCUCCUUUCUAGGG
This 208-nucleotide ribosomal RNA is filed under the name Planctomycetota bacterium. RNAcentral's name for it is "Planctomycetes bacterium partial 16S ribosomal RNA". It matches the Rfam family "Bacterial small subunit ribosomal RNA", at positions 1333 to 1533 of the family's 1533-position model. Lineage: Bacteria; Pseudomonadati; Planctomycetota. The record is from RNAcentral.